GGGCUGAGUUUUUAGGCAAGGUGGUGGUAGAAAAAGAGGAGAGCAUAUUUGCAGAGAUAGUGCAUUAGAUAGAGCUUAUUAUCUCCAGAGGAGAUAAUCUAAAAUGGUUUGUGAAGACUAAUAAAGAGAUUCACCAAAAAAUUGAGUAUAAGGAAUACUUUGACACUGAGUAAGGAUUUGUUUACCUCCAAUAUCCACAGGGGGGGGUAGGAUGUUGGUUCUCCAUUCCGUUCAUAUGACGACUGUUGGGAUCAAAAACGGUUACGACAAAGUUAACAUUCAAAUGUCCGAAGAAGUAAGCGAGAAUAUUUCUACGAAAAAUAUUCUUUCGAAAAAGAUUUGUUUUUACAAAGAGCCUUGCGGAAAGAACACGUUCGCGAAACAUCGGAGAAAACCCGAAUAAGGUCGCUGCGUAACGAUCGAACACGCACACGUCUCGGUCGCUAUGUAGCGAC
This 455-nucleotide long non-coding RNA is filed under the name Brassica napus (rape). RNAcentral's name for it is "long non-coding RNA (BNAP_LNC014448)". The record is from RNAcentral. Lineage: Eukaryota; Viridiplantae; Streptophyta; Magnoliopsida; Brassicales; Brassicaceae.